AACGUUGUUAUGAAUGCUUGGCUGCCACAAACUAGUUAUCCCUGUGGUAACUUUUUUGACACCUCUAGCUUCAAAUUUCAAAGGUCUGAAGGAUCAUUAGGCCACACUUUCACGGUUUGUAUUUGUACUAUAAAUUAGAAUCAAACGAGCUUUUACUCUUUUGUUCCACACGAAAUUUUUGUUCUCGUUGAACUCAUCUUAGGACACCUGCAUUAUCUUUUGACAAAUGUGUCGCCUCAGCGAAACUCCUCAUCGACGAUGUCUUUAGCUCGAAUUAGCCCGCGAAGUGAGCCUUGGGUCCAAAAAGAGGGGUAGUGCCCCACCUCCAAUUUACGAAAUAAGUAAAAUAAUGUUAAAAGUGGUGGUAUUUUACUUUCGCCUUUUGGCUUCCACUUAUCCUACACCUCUGAAGUCAUUUCACAAAGUCGGACUAGAGUUAAGCUCAAUAGGGUCUUCUUUCCCUGCUGAUUCUGCCAAGCUUGUUCCCUUGGCUGUGGUUUCACUAGAUAGUAGAUAGGGAUAGUGGGAAUCUUGUUAAUCCAGUUAUGUGCAUCACUAAUUAGAUGAUGACGCAUUUGGCUACCUUAAGAGAGUCAUAGUUACUCCAGUCGUUUACCCGCGCUUGGUUGAAUUUCUUCACUUUAACAUUUAGAGCACUAGGCAAAAAUCACAUUGCGUGAGCAUUCACAGGGACCAUUGCAAUGCUUUGUUUUAAUUAAACAAUUGAAUUUUCCUUGUCCAUACUAGUUCUGAGUUGACUGGUUGACGCCUGAGAAAGGUCCUCGAAGUAG
Molecule: long non-coding RNA, 791 nt
Filed under: Olea europaea subsp. europaea
Lineage: Eukaryota; Viridiplantae; Streptophyta; Magnoliopsida; Lamiales; Oleaceae
Source: RNAcentral